GCCUCAAUAGCUCAGUUUGGUAGAGCGGCUGUUUUCCGAGCAGCAGGUCGAGGGUUCGAAUCCCUCUUGAGGCU
The sequence is a transfer RNA, 74 nucleotides long. It matches the Rfam family "tRNA". Rfam says of the family: Transfer RNA (tRNA) molecules are approximately 80 nucleotides in length. Their secondary structure includes four short double-helical elements and three loops (D, anti-codon, and T loops). Further hydrogen bonds mediate the characteristic L-shaped molecular structure. tRNAs have two regions of fundamental functional importance: the anti-codon, which is responsible for specific mRNA codon recognition, and the 3' end, to which the tRNAs corresponding amino acid is attached (by aminoacyl-tRNA synthetases). tRNAs cope with the degeneracy of the genetic code in two manners: having more than one tRNA (with a specific anti-codon) for a particular amino acid; and 'wobble' base-pairing, i.e. permitting non-standard base-pairing at the 3rd anti-codon position.